This is a long non-coding RNA of Haliotis rubra (blacklip abalone), 165 nucleotides long. RefSeq lists it as uncharacterized. The record is from RefSeq and is a predicted model, not a curated record. The transcript has 3 exons. NCBI's taxonomy places the organism in Eukaryota, Metazoa, Mollusca, Gastropoda, Lepetellida, Haliotidae.
UAUAUAAUUUUUAUAACGAAUCGGUAGGGAAUACCUGUGGUCCAUCUAAACAGGGGGCAAAUAAGCUACGCUUUUAUGGUACUUUUAAGGAUGUUUAUACGCCGGAAUUUUACGUAACUCAUCCCAUGCCCCGCCCAUACAGAAGUGCAUAUGCUAAGUUCAGAU